GACGAACGCUGGCGGCGUGCUUAACACAUGCAAGUCGAACGGAAAGGCCCUGCUUUUGUGGGGUGCUCGAGUGGCGAACGGGUGAGUAACACGUGAGUAACCUGCCCUUGACUUUGGGAUAACUUCAGGAAACUGGGGCUAAUACCGGAUAGGAGCUCCUGCUGCAUGGUGGGGGUUGGAAAGAUUCGGCGGUUGGGGAUGGACUCGCGGCUUAUCAGCUUGUUGGUGGGGUAGUGGCUUACCAAGGCUUUGACGGGUAGCCGGCCUGAGAGGGUGACCGGCCACAUUGGGACUGAGAUACGGCCCAGACUCCUACGGGAGGCAGCAGUGGGGAAUAUGGCACAAUGGGCGGGAGCCUGAUGCAGCAACGCCGCGUGCGGGAUGACGGCCUUCGGGUUGUAAACCGCUUUCGCCUGUGACGAAGCGUGAGUGACGGUAAUGGGUAAAGAAGCACCGGCUAACUACGUG
RNAcentral lists this ribosomal RNA (468 nucleotides) under uncultured bacterium. RNAcentral describes it as "partial 16S ribosomal RNA". It matches the Rfam family "Bacterial small subunit ribosomal RNA", at positions 28 to 507 of the family's 1533-position model. The record is from RNAcentral.